AUUGAACGCUGGCGGCAUGCCUUACACAUGCAAGUCGAACGGCAGCACGGGUGCUUGCACCUGGUGGCGAGUGGCGAACGGGUGAGUAAUACAUCGGAACAUGUCCUGUAGUGGGGGAUAGCCCGGCGAAAGCCGGAUUAAUACCGCAUACGAUCUACGGAGGAAAGCGGGGGACCUUCGGGCCUCGCGCUAUAGGGUUGGCCGAUGGCUGGUUAGCUAGUUGGUGGGGUAAAGGCCUACCAAGGCGACGAUCAGUAGCUGGUCUGAGAGGACGACCAGCCACACUGGGACUGAGACACGGCCCAGACUCCUACGGGAGGCAGCAGUGGGGAAUUUUGGACAAUGGGCGAAAGCCUGAUCCAGCAAUGCCGCGUGUGUGAAGAAGGCCUUCGGGUUGUAAAGCACUUUUGUCCGGAAAGAAAUCCUUGGCCCUAAUACGGUCGGGGGAUGACGGUACCGGAAGAAUAAGCACCGGCUAACUACGUG
This 486-nucleotide ribosomal RNA is filed under the name uncultured bacterium. RNAcentral describes it as "partial 16S ribosomal RNA". It matches the Rfam family "Bacterial small subunit ribosomal RNA", at positions 30 to 507 of the family's 1533-position model. The record is from RNAcentral.